RNAcentral lists this ribosomal RNA (1445 nucleotides) under Salmonella enterica. RNAcentral describes it as "partial 23S ribosomal RNA". It matches the Rfam family "Bacterial large subunit ribosomal RNA", at positions 1510 to 2925 of the family's 2925-position model. Lineage: Bacteria; Pseudomonadati; Pseudomonadota; Gammaproteobacteria; Enterobacterales; Enterobacteriaceae. The record is from RNAcentral.
GUUUAAGCGUGUAGGUGUGUGUUCCAGGUAAAUCCGGUUCACUUUAACACUGAGGCGUGAUGACGAGGCACUACGGUGCUGAAGCAACAAAUGCCCUGCUUCCAGGAAAAGCCUCUAAGCAUCAGGUAACAUCAAAUCGUACCCCAAACCGACACAGGUGGUCAGGUAGAGAAUACCAAGGCGCUUGAGAGAACUCGGGUGAAGGAACUAGGCAAAAUGGUGCCGUAACUUCGGGAGAAGGCACGCUGACACGUAGGUGAAGUGAUUUACUCAUGGAGCUGAAGUCAGUCGAAGAUACCAGCUGGCUGCAACUGUUUAUUAAAAACACAGCACUGUGCAAACACGAAAGUGGACGUAUACGGUGUGACGCCUGCCCGGUGCCGGAAGGUUAAUUGAUGGGGUCAGCGCAAGCGAAGCUCCUGAUCGAAGCCCCGGUAAACGGCGGCCGUAACUAUAACGGUCCUAAGGUAGCGAAAUUCCUUGUCGGGUAAGUUCCGACCUGCACGAAUGGCGUAAUGAUGGCCAGGCUGUCUCCACCCGAGACUCAGUGAAAUUGAACUCGCUGUGAAGAUGCAGUGUACCCGCGGCAAGACGGAAAGACCCCGUGAACCUUUACUAUAGCUUGACACUGAACAUUGAGCCUUGAUGUGUAGGAUAGGUGGGAGGCUUUGAAGUGUGGACGCCAGUCUGCAUGGAGCCGGCCUUGAAAUACCACCCUUUAAUGUUUGAUGUUCUAACGUGGACCCGUGAUCCGGGUUGCGGACAGUGUCUGGUGGGUAGUUUGACUGGGGCGGUCUCCUCCUAAAGAGUAACGGAGGAGCACGAAGGUUGGCUAAUCCUGGUCGGACAUCAGGAGGUUAGUGCAAUGGCAUAAGCCAGCUUGACUGCGAGCGUGACGGCGCGAGCAGGUGCGAAAGCAGGUCAUAGUGAUCCGGUGGUUCUGAAUGGAAGGGCCAUCGCUCAACGGAUAAAAGGUACUCCGGGGAUAACAGGCUGAUACCGCCCAAGAGUUCAUAUCGACGGCGGUGUUUGGCACCUCGAUGUCGGCUCAUCACAUCCUGGGGCUGAAGUAGGUCCCAAGGGUAUGGCUGUUCGCCAUUUAAAGUGGUACGCGAGCUGGGUUUAGAACGUCGUGAGACAGUUCGGUCCCUAUCUGCCGUGGGCGCUGGAGAACUGAGGGGGGCUGCUCCUAGUACGAGAGGACCGGAGUGGACGCAUCACUGGUGUUCGGGUUGUCAUGCCAAUGGCACUGCCCGGUAGCUAAAUGCGGAAGAGAUAAGUGCUGAAAGCAUCUAAGCACGAAACUUGCCCCGAGAUGAGUUCUCCCUGAGACUUUAGGUCUCCUGAAGGAACGUUGAAGACGACGACGUUGAUAGGCCGGGUGUGUAAGCGCAGCGAUGCGUUGAGCUAACCGGUACUAAUGAACCGUGAGGCUUAACCUUACA